Magnolia sinica is the source of this 107-nucleotide small nucleolar RNA. The record is from RefSeq and is a predicted model, not a curated record. NCBI's taxonomy places the organism in Eukaryota, Viridiplantae, Streptophyta, Magnoliopsida, Magnoliales, Magnoliaceae.
AAACCAUGUUAUGGGUAUGAAUUGACAAGAUCCUUGAACCACUCCCAACAUUGGAAGAAUGUUUUAUCUUCCUUUUGGGCAAAGUUCAUGAUUGAUUUUCUAAGGUU